CACGUAGGGUGCAAGCGUUGUCCGGAUUCAUUGGGCGUAAAGGGCUAGUAGGCGGCUUAGCAAGUCGGGUGUGAAAACUUCAGGCUCAACCUGGAGCGGCCAUCCGAUACUGCUAUGGCUAGAGUCCGGUAGGGGACCACGGAAUUCCUGGUGUAGCGGUGAAAUGCGCAGAUAUCAGGAGGAACACCAAUGGCGAAGGCAGCACUCUGGGACGUGACUGACGCUGAGACGCGAAAGCGUGGGGAGCAAACAGG
This 254-nucleotide ribosomal RNA is filed under the name uncultured bacterium. Its description in RNAcentral is "partial 16S ribosomal RNA". It matches the Rfam family "Bacterial small subunit ribosomal RNA", at positions 524 to 776 of the family's 1533-position model. The record is from RNAcentral.